GGGAAUUCAAGUGGGUUUGUCUCAAUCGCCUACUCAAUUUGGGGUUGCUGAGAUGGGGAGUGGGGAACAGACUGAUAGUGUUGAGACUGUUUCUAGUGUGGCUACUGAUGAUGGGAUUGUAAUUGUCAAUAGCAAUAGUGAUGAAAAUGGAUUUGUGGGAAUAGAUGGACCUAUAAAUGAAGAUGCCGGCACUGUAGUUUAGGAUAUUGGAGUUUCUCCUUCGAGUUUUGUUUCUGCAAAUUUGAG
This 246-nucleotide unclassified non-coding RNA is filed under the name Hevea brasiliensis (rubber tree). The record is from RNAcentral. Lineage: Eukaryota; Viridiplantae; Streptophyta; Magnoliopsida; Malpighiales; Euphorbiaceae.